RNAcentral lists this small RNA (132 nucleotides) under Salmonella enterica subsp. enterica serovar Anatum. Its description in RNAcentral is "RtT sRNA". It matches the Rfam family "RtT RNA". Rfam says of the family: This family represents a bacterial cis-regulatory element known as RtT RNA. The record is from RNAcentral. Lineage: Bacteria; Pseudomonadati; Pseudomonadota; Gammaproteobacteria; Enterobacterales; Enterobacteriaceae.
AUUCUACCCAUGCGGGGAAGGAUGAGAAGCUUCGACUAAGGUUCGAUUCGAGCGCAGCGAGAAAGCGUUGCCGCAGGCAACGACCCGAAGGGCGAAGCGCGCAGCGCUGAGUAAUCCUUCCCCCCACCACCA